UUGAAGAGUUUGAUCAUGGCUCAGAUUGAACGCUGGCGGCAGGCCUAACACAUGCAAGUCGAGCGGUAGCGGGGAAGAUUUUGGUCUUUUGCCGACGAGCGGCGGACGGGUGAGUAAAGUCUGGGGAUCUAUCUUGUGGAGGGGGACAACCACUGGAAACGGUGGCUAAUACCGCAUAAACUCUGAGGAGCAAAGGGUGGGACCGAUGAGGCCACUCACCACGAGGUGAACCCAGAUGGGAUUAGCUAGUAGGUAGGGUAAAGGCCUACCUAGGCGAUGAUCUCUAGCUGGUCUGAGAGGAUGAUCAGCCACACUGGGACUGAGAUACGGCCCAGACUCCUACGGGAGGCAGCAGUGGGGAAUAUUGCACAAUGGGCGCAAGCCUGAUGCAGCCAUGCCGCGUGUGUGAAGAAGGCUUUCGGGUUGUAAAGCACUUUCAGCGGGGAAGAAGUUGUUGUGUUUAAUAGACAUAAUAAUUGACGUUACCUGCAGAAGAAGCACCGGCUAACUCCGUGCCAGCAGCCGCGGUAAUACGGAGGGUGCGAGCGUUAAUCGGAAUUACUGGGCGUAAAGGGCCUGUAGGUGGAUUAUUAAGUUAGCUGUGAAAACUCUGGGCUUAACCUAGGGCGUGCAGCUAAGACUGAUAGUCUAGAGUAAUGUAGAGGGGGGUAGAAUUCCAGGUGUAGCGGUGGAAUGCGUAGAUAUCUGGAGGAAUACCGGUGGCGAAGGCGGCCCCCUGGACAUUAACUGACGCUGAGGGGCGAAAGCGUGGGGAGCAAACAGGAUUAGAUACCCUGGUAGUCCAUGCUGUAAACGAUGUCGACUUGGAGAUUGCGGCUUAAAGCUGUGGUUUCCGGAGCUAACGUGUUAAGUCGACCGCCUGGGGAGUACGGCCGCAAGGUUAAAACUCAAAUGAAUUGACGGGGGCCCGCACAAGCGGUGGAGCAUGCGGUUUAAUUCGAUGCAACGCGAAGAACCUUACCUACUCUUGACAUCCAGAGAAGAUUGUAGAGAUACGAUUGUGCCUUCGGGAGCUCUGAGACAGGUGCUGCAUGGCUGUCGUCAGCUCGUGUUGUGAAAUGUUGGGUUAAGUCCCGCAACGAGCGCAACCCUUAUCCUUUGUUGCCAGCACGUUAGGGUGGGAACUCAAAGGAGACUGCCGGUGAUAAACCGGAGGAAGGUGGGGACGACGUCAAGUCAUCAUGGCCCUUACGAGUAGGGCUACACGCGUGCUACAAUGGCUAAUACAAAGGGCAGCGAGCCAGCGAUGGUAAGCGAAUCUCAUAAAGUUAGUCAUAGUCCGGAUUGGAGUCUGCAACUCGACUCCAUGAAGUCGGAAUCGCUAGUAAUCGCGAAUCAGCACGUCGCGGUGAAUACGUUCCCGGGCCUUGUACACACCGCCCGUCACACCAUGGGAGUGGGCUGCACCAGAAGUGGGUUGCUUAACCUGAAAGGGGGGGCGCUUACCACGGUGUGGUUCAUGACUGGGGUGAAGUCGUAACAAGGUAACCGUAGGGGAACCUGUGGUUGGAUCACCUCCUU
This 1542-nucleotide ribosomal RNA is filed under the name uncultured Sodalis sp. Its description in RNAcentral is "bacterial SSU rRNA". It matches the Rfam family "Bacterial small subunit ribosomal RNA". Lineage: Bacteria; Pseudomonadati; Pseudomonadota; Gammaproteobacteria; Enterobacterales; Bruguierivoracaceae. The record is from RNAcentral.